GGCGAGUGAAGCGGCAACAGCUCAAAUUUGAAAUCUGGCCCCUAGGGCCCGAGUUGUAAUUUGCAGAGGAUGCUUUUGGCGAGGUGCCUUCCGAGUUCCCUGGAACGGGACGCCAUAGAGGGUGAGAGCCCCGUCUGGUUGGAUGCCGAGCCUCUGUAAAGCUCCUUCGACGAGUCGAGUAGUUUGGGAAUGCUGCUCUAAAUGGGAGGUAUAUGUCUUCUAAAGCUAAAUACCGGCCAGAGACCGAUAGCGCACAAGUAGAGUGAUCGAAAGAUGAAAAGCACUUUGAAAAGAGGGUUAAAUAGUACGUGAAAUUGUUGAAAGGGAAGCGCUUAUGACCAGACUUGGACCCGGUGAAUCAUCCAGCGUUCUCGCUGGUGCACUUUGCCGGGCUCAGGCCAGCAUCAGUUUGCCUCGGGGGAUAAAGGCUUUGGGAAUGUGGCUCCCUCGGGAGUGUUAUAGCCCAUUGCACAAUACCCUGGGGCGGACUGAGGUUCGCGCAUCUGCAAGGAUGCUGGCGUAAUGGUCAUCAGCGACCCGUCUUGAAACACGGACCAAGGAGUCGUCUUCGUAUGCGAGUGUUCGGGUGUAAAACCCCUACGCGUAAUGAAAGUGAACGCAGGUGAGAGCUUCGGCGCAUCAUCGACCGAUCCUGAUGUUCUCGGAUGGAUUUGAGUAAGAGCAUACGGGGCCGGACCCGAAAGAAGGUGAACUAUGCCUGUAUAGGGUGAAGCCAGAGGAAACUCUGGUGGAGGCUCGCAGCGGUUCUGACGUGCAAAUCGAUCGUCAAAUAUGGGCAUGGGGGCGAAAGACUAAUCGAACC
This 823-nucleotide ribosomal RNA is filed under the name Metarhizium chaiyaphumense. RNAcentral describes it as "eukaryotic LSU rRNA". It matches the Rfam family "Eukaryotic large subunit ribosomal RNA", at positions 88 to 941 of the family's 3401-position model. Lineage: Eukaryota; Fungi; Ascomycota; Sordariomycetes; Hypocreales; Clavicipitaceae. The record is from RNAcentral.